GACGAACGCUGGCGGCGUGCUUAACACAUGCAAGUCGAACGGAAAGGCCCUGCGCUUGCUGUGUGCUCGUUAGGCGAACGGGUGAGUAACACGUGAGUAACCUGCCCUUGUCUUUCGGAUAACUUCAGGAAACUCGGGCUAAUACCGGAUAGGAUCUCCUGCUCCAUGGGGGGGGUUGGAAAGUUUCGGCGGUUGGGGCUGGACUCGCUGCUUAUCCGCUUGUUGGUGUGGUAGUGGAUGACAAAGGCUUUGACGGGUAGCCGGCCUGGGAGGGUGGACGGCCACCUUGGGCCUGCGAUAGGGCCCAGACGCCAACGGGCGGCAGCAGUGGGGAAUCUUGCGCAAUGGGCGGAAGCCUGAUGCAGAAGCGCCGCGUGCGGGAUGACGGCCUACGGGUUGUAAACAGAUUUCGCCUGUGACGAGGCGUGCGUGACGGUAAUGGGUAAGAAAGCACCGGCUAACUACGUG
This 468-nucleotide ribosomal RNA is filed under the name uncultured bacterium. RNAcentral describes it as "partial 16S ribosomal RNA". It matches the Rfam family "Bacterial small subunit ribosomal RNA", at positions 28 to 507 of the family's 1533-position model. The record is from RNAcentral.